Molecule: ribosomal RNA, 876 nt
Filed under: Triticum aestivum (bread wheat)
Lineage: Eukaryota; Viridiplantae; Streptophyta; Magnoliopsida; Poales; Poaceae
Description: partial small subunit ribosomal RNA
Source: RNAcentral
AUGAGCGGCGGCAGCGCCGGGGCCGGCGCGGGGCCGUCCUCACCGGCAUUGCGCCUCCGCGGGGAGGACGGGAGGGCCGAGUGGCUGCGCUUCUACGAUCUGGUUGAGGCGCAGGUGGAGGCGCUGGCCGCCGACCGCGCGCAUCUGGCGGCGACAAGGGGCGAGGGGGAGGAAGCGAUACUUCCGGCGGACAGGCUCGCCGAACUCCAAGAGGGUGAUUUGGAGGAUGUCAGAGCUUGUAGAGGCCUUCUUGCCCUUGGUAACACUGAAUCUAAGGAAGUUCAAGAUCGUCUAGAGCUUGGUGAAAACACUGGGGAUCACGAGCACAUCAUAAAAGCGUUGAGAGCAAACCUUAGAAAACUAAAGGGAGCUUUUGAGACCCUGUUGUCGAAGAAGGAUAAGGAUGUUUAUUCAGUCAAAGAUGUUCUUUUGAAUCAGUUGAGGACAAUUCAAAAGGACAAAACGCUCUUUGAGAACAAGAAACUAGAGGCAGCACAAGCUACUGAAGAAGCGAAGAAGCUUCAGCAGAAUGUACAGGCGCUGCACGCCGCAACCCAAAACAAGGACGAUGAGAUUGGCAGACUCCAAGUAGAAGCUCUUGUGGCUCAACAUAAGCUACAUGAAAUGGGUUCCUUGCUGAAGGAGAAAGAUGAAGUUAUUGAAAAACUCCGUGCAGAAAACAUCGGAUUACUUGCUGUAAAGGAUUUCGUUUGGAGUCAGUUCAAUAUAAAUGAGCAGGAGUUGCUGGACUAUGCUGUGCUUCUUAAGAACAAGGAACUGGCGGCAACACAAGCUACUGAAGCAACGCAAAAGCUUGUAAAGGAGAAUGUUGAUUAUGGAAACAAGCUAUUGAUUCUAGAGGAUAAGCUAAAGUAG